This 793-nucleotide ribosomal RNA is filed under the name uncultured bacterium. RNAcentral's name for it is "bacterial SSU rRNA". It matches the Rfam family "Bacterial small subunit ribosomal RNA", at positions 8 to 796 of the family's 1533-position model. The record is from RNAcentral.
AGAGUUUGAUCCUGGCUCAGAUUGUACGCUGGCGGCAGGCCUAACACAUGCAAGUCGAGCGGAUGAAGAGGGCUUGCUCUCUGAUUCAGCGGCGGACGGGUGAGUAAUGCCUAGGAAUCUGCCUGGUAGUGGGGGACAACGUUUCGAAAGGAACGCUAAUACCGCAUACGUCCUACGGGAGAAAGCAGGGGACCUUCGGGCCUUGCGCUAUCAGAUGAGCCUAGGUCGGAUUAGCUAGUUGGUGAGGUAAAGGCUCACCAAGGCGACGAUCCGUAACUGGUCUGAGAGGAUGAUCAGUCACACUGGAACUGAGACACGGUCCAGACUCCUACGGGAGGCAGCAGUGGGGAAUUUUGCGCAAUGGACGAAAGUCUGACGCAGCAACGCCGCGUGGGUGAUGAAGGUCUUCGGAUCGUAAAACCCUGUCGUCGGGGACGAAGGUGGGCUUGUUAAUAGCGAGUUUACUUGACGGUACCCGGAGAGGAAGCCCCGGCUAACUCUGUGCCAGCAGCCGCGGUAAUACAGAGGGGGCAAGCGUUAUUCGGAAUUAUUGGGCGUAAAGGGUGCGUAGGCGGUCGUUUAAGUAGGAUGUGUAAUCCCCGGGCUUAACCUGGGAACUGCAUCCUAGACUGGACGACUUGAGUACUGGAGAGGGUGGUAGAAUUCCACGUGUAGCGGUGAAAUGCGUAGAGAUGUGGAGGAAUACCAGUGGCGAAGGCGGCCACCUGGACAGUAACUGACGCUGAGGCGCGAAAGUGUGGGUAGCAAACAGGAUUAGAUACCCUGGUAGUCC